CCCACACGGGGAACCCCAAAAUACCAAAAAUGCAAAAAUUCCCACAAAAAUCCCACAAAAAUUCCCAUAAAAGUGCCCCAAAAAUGCCCCAAAAUUGCCUCAAAACGCCCAAAGUUGUGGUUUUUAUCCUCAAAAUCUUCCCCAAAAAUGACCCAAGUCCUCCAAAUUCACCCCAAAAUUCCCCAAAUUCACCCUAAAAUCCACACAGGGAAACCCAAAAUACCAAAAAUACAAAAAUUCCCAGAAAAAUCCUACAAAAAUUCCCACAAAAAUGCCCCAAAAAUGCCCAAAUUUGGGGUUUUUGUUGCCGCUUCCCCAACCAGAACCAGACCAGGAACUGCUGGCAGAACUACCUGGGUAUGGAGCCCCAAAAUCAACCAAAUUCACCCCAAAAUUCCCCAAAUUCACCCCAAAAUCCACACGGGGAACCCCGAAAUCACAAAAUGCAAAAAAUCCCACAAAAAUCCCACAAAAAAUGGCCCAAAAAACCCAAAAAUUACCCCAAAAAUGACCCAAAAUUGCCUCAAAAAUGCCCCCAAAACGCCCAAGUUUGUGGUUUUAUCCCCAAAAUCUUCCCCAAAAACUCCCCAAAUCCUCCAAAUUCACCCCAAAAUUCCCCAAAUUCACCCUAAAAUCCACAUGGGGAACCCCAAAAUCACAAAAAUGCAAAAAUUCUCACAAAAAUCCCACAAAACUUCCCACAAAAAUGCCCCAAAAAUGCCCAAAUUUGGGGUUUUUGUUGCUGCUUCCCCAACCAGAACCAGACCCGCAACUGCUGGCAGAACUACCUGGGUAUGGAGCCCCAAAAUGCCCCAAAUUCACCCCAAAAUUCCCCAAAUUCACCCCAAAAUCCACACGGGGAACCCCGAAAUCACAAAAAUGCAAAAAUUCCCACAAAAAUCCCACAAAAAAUGGCCCAAAAAACCCAAAAAUUACCCCAAAAAUGACCCAAAGUUGCCUCAAAAAUGCCCCCAAAACGCCCAAGUUUGUGGUUUUAUCCCCAAAAUCUUCCCCAAAAACUCCCCAAAUCCUCCAAAUUCACCCCAAAAUUCCCCAAAUUCACCCUAAAAUCCACAUGGGGAACCCCAAAAUCACAAAAAUGCAAAAAAUUCCCACAAAAAUCCCACAAAAAUUCCCACAAAAAUGCCCCAAAAGUGCCCAAAUUUGGGGUUUUUGUCGCCGCUUCCCCAACCAGAACCAGACCCGCAACUGCUGGCAGAACUACCUGGAUUUCCAGCGGUGCCAGCGCGCCAUGGACGCCCGCGGCGCCGAUGCCACCCCGUGCCAGUGGUACUUCCGCGUCUACAAGUCCCUGUGCCCGACCUCGUGGGUGACGGCGUGGGACGAGGCCCGUGAGGAGGG
Molecule: RNA transcript, 1362 nt
Organism: Melospiza melodia melodia
Lineage: Eukaryota; Metazoa; Chordata; Aves; Passeriformes; Passerellidae
Gene name: cytochrome c oxidase subunit 6B1-like
Exons: 3
Source: RefSeq, a predicted model, not a curated record